Molecule: ribosomal RNA, 389 nt
Filed under: uncultured bacterium
Lineage: Bacteria
Description: bacterial SSU rRNA
Rfam family: Bacterial small subunit ribosomal RNA
Source: RNAcentral
AUUGAACGCUGGCGGCAUGCCUUACACAUGCAAGUCGAACGGCAGCGGACCUUCGGGUGCCGGCGAGUGGCGAACGGGUGAGUAAUAUAUCGGAACGUACCUUUCAGUGGGGGAUAACGUAGCGAAAGUUACGCUAAUACCGCAUAUUCUGUGAGCAGGAAAGCAGGGGAGUCGCAAGACCUUGCGCUGAUUGAGCGGCCGAUAUCAGAUUAGCUAGUUGGUGAGGUAAAGGCUCACCAAGGCGACGAUCUGUAGCGGGUCUGAGAGGAUGAUCCGCCACACUGGAACUGAGACACGGUCCAGACUCCUACGGGAGGCAGCAGUGGGGAAUUUUGGACAAUGGGCGCAAGCCUGAUCCAGCCAUGCCGCGUGAGUGAAGAAGGCCUCGG